GGGCACAUCAAGGACUUGUGCUACCAUAUUCUCACAGCACUCACUGGCCUGAGAACCAGCUGUGGGAGCCCUGUGGUCCUAGUCAACUGCCUAUCAGCAGCUGUAGGAACCCUCUGAGGUGUGGCAGGCAGAGGAUGUGUAUGGUCCAGCAAGAAACCAACUGCUCACAUCCGCUUGGGAUUUAUGUGUACCUGUUCACGCAGCAUCUCUAAGGUUUUCAUUUGCUUGUUUCUCAGCUCUUUGUCUCGGGCAAAGGCAAAAUAACCAACGCCAAGCUGCCGGGCCUCUGAAAGAAGUCCAAAUUACCCAAAAGAUCAGACUGUCCUGAUACUCAACUACACUCAAGCCACAUUUCCUACCAAAGCAAAAAGAAACAGUGAUAUUUGGCACAAGUUUUAAAAAUAAAAAGAAAACAGCUAAGCAAAAAACAAAAAAGCAAAGAAACACAAAUGUUAGAUCAAGUUUUUGUCCUGUUUGCCUAGGGAAGCAUAACAAAGGGUCAUUUGCUUUCAGUCAUGGGCUGUCUCCACUUCUCUUGGGGAACAAUCCCUUGGAUUACCAGACCCUCUGUCAGGAAGAUAUUCCCAAUGUGAGUAUUUAAAAGCUAUAAAGUGAACAAAGGAGGUAUUUUCAAUUUCCAAAGCAGGAUCUUUAAUUUCCACGUAAGAGCUAUUGCUUUAUGAAUACUUCCCUUUGAGUUUGCCAUCAGUUUAAGAUUAAAAAAAAAGAUUUGCAAAGCUGCAAAAAAUAGUCAUACCAUUUUCCCGAAUGUCUUCAUAAUGUAUGGGCCCCAUGGGCCUCUUCAGGGCCUCCCUUUCUUCUUCCUCCCAUUGCUGGCGCUGAAGUUCUUUUCUCAUAUCUUCAGAUAAUAGGGUUUUUUCAUUAGCAGGACUAAUAAAACUAGCAGGAAAACAGAGCAAAAACUAUCUUCAGAUAAGGACUAAGAUAUCAGUUCUUAAGUACAGUCAGUUGGAUCACGGAUAAAUAACACUAUUUGAUAAAGAAUACAUGGAACUAGGCCAGGCGCAGCAGCUCAUGCCUGUAAUCCCAGCACUUUGGGAGGCCGAGGUGGGCAGAUCACAAGGUCAAGAGAUCCAUACCAUCCUGGCCAACAUGGUGAAACCCCGACUCUACUAAAAAACACAAAAAUUAGCUGGGCAUGGUGGUGCAUGCCUGUAGUCCCAGCUACUCGAAAGGCUGAGGCAGGAGAAUUGCUUGAACCCAGGAGACAGAGAUUGCAGUGAGCUGAGACUGCGCCACUGCACUCCAGCCUGGUGCCUGGUGACAGAACAAGACUCUGUGUCAAAAAAAAAAAAAAGAAUACAGGGAACUACAGGCUUCUAAACUUCUACAGAACUGAGGCUUCUGACCCACGAUACUGCUGGGAAAACCAGUAAAACAGCCUUCACCUUUCUUUCUUUCUUUUUUUUUUUUGAGACUAGUCUUGCUCUGUCACCCAGGUUGGAGUGCGGUGGUGCAAUCUUGGUUCAAUCUCAGCUCAAUGCAACCUCCGCCUCUCAGGUGCAAAUAAUUCUCCUGCCUCAGCCUCCUGAUUAGCUGGGAUUACAAGCGCCCAUCAACACAUACAGCUAAUUUUUAUAUUUUUAGUAGAGAUAGGGUUUCACCAUGUUUGCUAAGCUGGUCUUGAACUCCUGACCUCAAGUGAUCCGCCUGUCUUGGCCUCCCAAAGUGCUGGGAUUACAGGUGUGAACCACCUCACCCGGCCAGCCUUCAACUUUCUUAAUCAAGCACCAUUCUCGUUAUAUUAGCAUGAUAGCAUCUUGCAUAAGCACUUGAGAAAAAAACUUUCCUUUCACAGAGGUCCCAGGCUGAACAGAUGAGAGGAGGAACUCUGGGACUCCUAUAGAUGGUCUCUCAUCCAGAGACAUGAAAACUGCUUAACACUAUGGCCUGGGCGGUGUAUCCUGUCCUUACAGAUAGCUGGGCCCUGAGAGGCUCAAGGUUUCUACUCUCCCUUUCUUGUGCCAAGCCAAGGGCUACCUGCAAGAUGCCUGAACCUGGAGAACUCAGACAAGAUGGAGUCUUUCUCUGUUGCCAGGCUGGAGUGCAACCUCCACCUCCUGGGUUCAAGCGAUUCUUCUGCCUCAGCCUCCCGAGUAGCUGGGACUACAGGCACGUGCUAUUUAUCAGUAUCUUAAUAACUUUGUCUUGUGCCUGAGAUUCUCAACUUGCUCAUUUUCUCACAGUCUUCAAGUCUGACUUUUUAUUCGCUCUCUUAUUUCCUCUAAUUAGUAUAAUUCUACCCAAUGUAUUAGCAAUUUCUUAAUGUAAGAAAUUCACAGUAUUUUUCAGAGUUGGACUCUUCUUAAUUAGGAGGAAGCCAAACACCACACCUCUCUCCUCAUCUCUGCUCAAACUAGACAAUAGUGAGACAGCUAAGCCAUGCAGAUAGCAAGGCAAAACGAAAUAUUCUGACUUUCUACAAUAGAAAAUAUGGACAGAUUUUCAUGAAAAAUAUCUCAUUUGCAUUAUGAUUCAACAGAUAUUUUACUUUUUAAAUUAUGGGCUGAUAAUCUCCUACAGCCUUUAGCAGGGUACUGAAUACACAGUAAGGGUCCAAUAAAUACUAGCUGGCAGACCAAUUCAGCUAGGUAUGUGACUUUGCUUUUGUUAGCAAUUUUUUUUUCCUCUCAAGCAAUGCUGAUUUCAAUUGUUAGUUGUGAUUUAAAAACUGAGUGUUUACUCCAGUACUGAAGCUGAUUAUCACAAGAAAUAAAACCUCUGACUGCAGCAAGCAGUUUCUUUCUUUCUUAUUUUCUUCCCAUAUGGAUGGGGGAAGAAAACCAUCUAGCCAGAUGGUCUGUGUAAUUAUUUACAGUAUCUUUAUGGAAAGAUUUUCUACCACCUGGAAUUUAACUACCAAAAGGAUUUUACAAGCAAUUACAAUUCUGGAGCUUAAUUUAAAAACAAACAAAAAAAAGUGUUAGAACUGCUUGCAGUGCGUCUUCCUUCACCAUAUGGUGGCAUGUGACACCUUCAAUUGCCCUCCAAACUCUUCAAAUCACUGGAAAAUUGCUUGUAAUCACACAGGCAUUAAUAAGCAAAAAUUUUUAAAAAGACAUUAGACCUUUCAAAGGAGAUGAGAUUUCUGUUAUGAAAAGCAAUCAUAGACUAUUGUUUCUGGAGAAGGCCUCCAAAACAUAAAGAUCCCACUAAAUAGAAGUGGCAAGACAGGAGCCAACCAUGGCUCCACCUAAUCAAGCAAUCACCCUCUAAGCAACCCCUGCAGGUAAACAAAGCUUUCGUCAGGCAAGGAAGGUAAUACAGGCGGACUAACAGCCAUGCCAUGUUUCAAGGGUCUGGGGAAGUUAAGGCACACACCCAUGAAACACUUAUUAACAACACUGGGUAUAUAAAGACUACCAAAAGUUUGCUAAAAUUUUUUUCUGAUAAUGAGGCCUGGUAUGUGUCAAUAAUAAAUGAAAGGUAAUACCCGAAGAGCAGGAAGUAUAGUAAGUGCUACCUGACUUCAGAUGAGAAAGCAAUCACUUAGAGAUUAGAAAUGAUAGGCCAGGGAUGGUGGUUCACACCUAUAAUCCCAGCACUUUCGGAGGCCCAGGUGGGAAGAUUGUUUGAGCCCGGGACUUCAAGAAGAGCCUGGGUAACAUAGUGAGACCUUGUUUCUACAAAAAAUAAAAAUAAAAAACUGAGGCAGCAGGAUUGUGUCAGCUCAGGAGGUCAAGGCUACAAUGAGCCAUGAUCACGCCACUGCACUCUCACCUGGGUGGAGACCCUGCCUCAUAAAUAAAUAAGAAAGAAAGAAAGACAUGAUGAAGAAAGGCAUCAACAGAAGAGACUCAUAUGUUCUCUUUUGGUUCCUUAUAGCUUGCAGCCUGUUCCAAGUGGUAUCAAACUAUUUAGCUAUAAGUUUUUAAGAAAGUAGGUAAGACGACACCUGUUUUAUCCCAAUGAGAAUGUUAUUUCUGAACCAACACGGACACCCUCAGUGGAAUGAAGAUGCAGUUUCUCUGCCAUCCACAGUAGCCGGGACUGCUCUCUUCAGCGCAUCAGUGACUGCCCACAGGGUCAAAGGCUGACAAAAGAUCAAUGCAUGCUGCAGAGUCCUGAGCAGUUCCUAACAAAUGCCCGCCAUGAUGAAGAUAUCUGCACUUUAAAGGGAGGAUGAGUAGGAUCCCAAAGGCAAGAGGGUGGGUUCCCAGGAAACUGUCAGAGCAUCAGUAGAGCUCUCAGCAAUUUCAAGCGCUGUGGAACAAGCUUCCAAACAAUAAUACCUUAGGUAGAAAAAAACCAUUGUAACAGAAUUCCCAUUCUGGUCUCUCUACUUAUGGAUACAUUAAGUCUGUUUAAGGAAAAGACUAGUUUUCACCUACAUAUAGGCAAAAUUCAGGAAAAUGUCAGUAAUAAAGGUUUACAAGAUGCCUUUUUAUACUUCACAGGCAGCACUUUCUUGUGUAGCCCAGAAUGCUCUUACUAUUUGAAGGGAGUUUCAAGCAAAGGAAUAAGGCAUUAUAAUCUCUGUUUUACAAGGGGAGAUCCUGAGCCUCAAAGACUGAGGAACCUAAUUAGGAUCAUACAUCCAGUAAAAAGUGCGGCUAGAGCCGUCCAAGGCCCAUGGGCCCACACCACACUGCCAAACAACGUCACAGCCGGAGUAAGACAUACUGCACCACCUCUGCCAGCUUCCUUCUCCUAGAUGAUGACUCUCCACCAUGUCAGAACAAGGACAUGCGUAAGGCAGCAGGACAGGUACAAAAGGAAGGCGCUCUGCCCACACUGCUUCAUGUUAGUGAGUCAAGCAAACCAAGUCUGCCAGCCACAAAGUCUCCCUGAGCCUGGCACAGGGCGGGGCACACAGCAGGAGCCCAGUCAGUAGUUAUAAUUCUUUGUAAUUAUUGUAAUUAUGUCUUCAUUUGAGCUACUGUUUUUACAUCUAUAAUAACCUAAUCCAAUCUAACUUAAAGGGAAGUCUCAAAAGAAAGAACACCCGGGAAUACCAGAGAAAUGGCUUCACAACAACCCAACAAAAUCACUCCCAAAAUGUCGCACAAGUCUGAGGAUGUUCCUCUGAGCUAAUCCAUGAUAUAACCAACCA
Callithrix jacchus (white-tufted-ear marmoset) is the source of this 5074-nucleotide non-coding RNA. The record is from RefSeq and is a predicted model, not a curated record. Lineage: Eukaryota; Metazoa; Chordata; Mammalia; Primates; Cebidae.